AUUAUUAUUAGAGACACUAGACGGACGACAGUAGGCAAAAGACACGCAGACCAGCUCAAACUAUUCACACCUUCCCCACCCUGGUUAUAUUAGAUGCAGAUUCCCAUUCUCCAUAACUUGCUAAAUUUCACGACAGAUUAACCCAAUAAGUUUCUCCAGUAGGAUGCCACCAGCAAAGCGCAAUUUCAUCAAAAAGCAUCCCGCUAUGGAUCUUUCCAUUGCGGUCCAAACCGACAUUGGACAAAAAUCAGCAACCUCCACAUCCAGACAAAGCGCACACGCUACGUUCAAGAUACCAAAAAAACACCGUAAUCAACAACAUGCGCCUCCGCAAAAUACGCAAGUCUUGGGCGACCUCAGAGACGUGCUACCGUUGCGGAACCGAGACGGUUCGAGCCGGCAGCAAACACCAAGCAUGCAGCGACCACAACGCUCACGAAGCUCCCAUACCUGGCAGCGUGCACAGCUCCGUAUAGUGUGGUGUAUCUGUCGUGCUGAGUCCUGGUGGUGAUGCGGGUGGCCGUCUCCUCUAGUCGAUGCUAAAUAGGGCGCGCUCCUAAAACAACAAUAAACAGAAGGUGUGCAGAGAUGUAACGAUAAGUCGACUAAUAUUCUUUAACCCGCCGCUGGUCGUUUAUUCCAGGUGGCUGGGUCAGAAAAAUAGUCCCACCUGAGUUAAGACUAGUUUCUCUCUUUCUCUUCUUGCAGGCGGUGUGGUUUGCGUCGGUCGGCCAACUCGAGGUUCACUCUGAAACAUAGACAACCAACAGGUGAUCAGGCCGUGGUAUUGAUGCGUCGAGCGAAGCCAACUGACCGUUAAGGCAAGACGCAGAUGCGGUCCUUCCCUUCUAACACGUUGAUCUCCCACAGUUAUAGGCUUUCCACGCGCGGCCCUAGCCCAGGCUGUUCGGCGAAGAAGCUCUCGUCUCUGUGGCAACGUCAGUCAGACUCCCACAAUCAAAAGAAAGAUGAUCAUCGAGUCGGCGAUACAAUCGAGCUAAGCACCACCUUGAACGCAGGAGAGUCUGGCUCGGCCUGGCUAUCAGAUUUACGGUUGAGGUUCCGGAGUAGUUGGCUUGAGGGUCCCGAAGGAUGACCGGUGCUCGAAUGUAGCCGUACCUGCUUCGUGGUUUUCUGAUGACUUUUCACCCGGCGCGAUAUGGUUCUCCCCUUACUGAUGUUGGUCGGCAAUUUUUAUGUAUUUUGGGACCUUUAUUGUCAUGCGGACACCAAAACUGCCCCUCCCAAUUGAGAGGGGCAGAGCGACAGGUAAACAUCAGUCACGUUGGCAAGGAACUCCCGUAAACUCAACGGAUUUCUCCGGUUUUUACACUUGUUUCAGAGAACCGUCGGGCCCAGGGGGGCCACGAAGUGUCUCCUCAGCCCACUUUUAGACAUUUCGACCCUGGGACUGAUUUUCAAAGCUGAAAAUUGAGA
This is a long non-coding RNA of Cloeon dipterum, 1437 nucleotides long. RefSeq lists it as uncharacterized. Lineage: Eukaryota; Metazoa; Arthropoda; Insecta; Ephemeroptera; Baetidae. The record is from RefSeq and is a predicted model, not a curated record. The transcript is spliced from 5 exons.